ACGCUUCUUUUUCCACCGGAGCUUGCUCCACCGGAAAAAGAGGAGUGGCGAACGGGUGAGUAACACGUGGGUAACCUGCCCAUCAGAAGGGGAUAACACUUGGAAACAGGUGCUAAUACCGUAUAACAAUCGAAACCGCAUGGUUUUGAUUUGAAAGGCGCUUUCGGGUGUCGCUGAUGGAUGGACCCGCGGUGCAUUAGCUAGUUGGUGAGGUAACGGCUCACCAAGGCCACGAUGCAUAGCCGACCUGAGAGGGUGAUCGGCCACAUUGGGACUGAGACACGGCCCAAACUCCUACGGGAGGCAGCAGUAGGGAAUCUUCGGCAAUGGACGAAAGUCUGACCGAGCAACGCCGCGUGAGUGAAGAAGGUUUUCGGAUCGUAAAACUCUGUUGUUAGAGAAGAACAAGGAUGAGAGUAACUGUUCAUCCCUUGACGGUAUCUAACCAGAAAGCCACGGCUAACUACGUGCCAGCAGCCGCGGUAAUACGUAGGUGGCAAGCGUUGUCCGGAUUUAUUGGGCGUAAAGCGAGCGCAGGCGGUUUCUUAAGUCUGAUGUGAAAGCCCCCGGCUCAACCGGGGAGGGUCAUUGGAAACUGGGAGACUUGAGUGCAGAAGAGGAGAGUGGAAUUCCAUGUGUAGCGGUGAAAUGCGUAGAUAUAUGGAGGAACACCAGUGGCGAAGGCGGCUCUCUGGUCUGUAACUGACGCUGAGGCUCGAAAGCGUGGGGAGCAAACAGGAUUAGAUACCCUGGUAGUCCACGCCGUAAACGAUGAGUGCUAAGUGUUGGAGGGUUUCCGCCCUUCAGUGCUGCAGCUAACGCAUUAAGCACUCCGCCUGGGGAGUACGACCGCAAGGUUGAAACUCAAAGGAAUUGACGGGGGCCCGCACAAGCGGUGGAGCAUGGGGUUUAAUUCGAAGCAACGCGAAGAACCUUACCAGGUCUUGACAUCCUUUGACCACUCUAGAGAUAGAGCUUCCCCUUCGGGGGCA
This 992-nucleotide ribosomal RNA is filed under the name Enterococcus faecium. RNAcentral describes it as "bacterial SSU rRNA". It matches the Rfam family "Bacterial small subunit ribosomal RNA", at positions 66 to 1028 of the family's 1533-position model. Lineage: Bacteria; Bacillati; Bacillota; Bacilli; Lactobacillales; Enterococcaceae. The record is from RNAcentral.